UCUAUAUGAUGAGUUAGAGGACGAUAAAGGAUACUGUAGAAGACAGUUUUGUUCAAAGCCAGCGCUUAGUUGCGCGGUCGCGACGAGACUUGCCAUUUGCAGACUAUGUCUUUUUUCGUUGUUAACUCUUCUUCAACUUCUACAACACUGUGAAGUUUUCUACAACACUUUCUUCUUUGGGGAGUUACGUUUCACACGUUCUUCCCAGAGGUGACAAACACAAACAAUUUUUUAUUAUUAUAACCUAGUCAAAACCAAUUUCGUUUGAAAUUAAAAAUAUUUAAAACUUUCAACAACGGAUCUCUUGGUUCUCGCAUCGAUGAAGAACGCAGCGAAAUGCGAUACGUAAUGUGAAUUGCAGAAUUCCGUGAAUCAUCGAAUCUUUGAACGCACAUUGCGCCCCUUGGUAUUCCAGGGGGCAUGCCUGUUUGAGCGUCAUUUCCUUCUCAAACAAUUAUGUUUGGUAGUGAGUGAUACUCUUAUACAGGGUUAACUUGAAAUUGCUAGCCUGUUAUUUGGUUGUGAUUUUGCUAGCUUGGAUGAUUUUGUCCAGUCUAGCUAAUACCGAAUUGUCGUAUUAGGUUUUACCAACUUCGGCAGAAAGUGUGUUAGUUUAGGCGUUUUAAAGACUUAGUCGUAAACGAUUUAUCGUUUGUUUAGGCUAUUGCAUGCGCAAUCCGGCGAACAAUACUCUCAAAGUUUGACCUCAAAUCAGGUAGGAAUACCCGCUGAACUUAAGCUUU
Molecule: ribosomal RNA, 743 nt
Filed under: Torulaspora delbrueckii
Lineage: Eukaryota; Fungi; Ascomycota; Saccharomycetes; Saccharomycetales; Saccharomycetaceae
Description: eukaryotic LSU rRNA
Rfam family: 5.8S ribosomal RNA (bases 285-438)
Source: RNAcentral